This 425-nucleotide ribosomal RNA is filed under the name Acetobacter sp. PLY. Its description in RNAcentral is "bacterial LSU rRNA". It matches the Rfam family "Bacterial large subunit ribosomal RNA", at positions 1 to 477 of the family's 2925-position model. Lineage: Bacteria; Pseudomonadati; Pseudomonadota; Alphaproteobacteria; Acetobacterales; Acetobacteraceae. The record is from RNAcentral.
UGGGGCGAGUGAGCGCGAUAAGGGCAUUCGGUGGAUGCCUUGGCACCAGGAGGCGACGAAGGACGUAGCACGCUGCGAAAAGUUGUGGGGAGCCGCGAGCAGGCAUUGAUCCGCAAAUAUCCGAAUGGGGCAACCCACCCAGCGAUGGGUAUCAUCAUCUGAAUACAUAGGGUGAUGAGGCGAACCCGGGGAACUGAAACAUCUCAGUACCUGGAGGAAAAGACAUCAAUUGAGAUUCCGCUAGUAGUGGCGAGCGAACGCGGAGCAGGCCAGUGGUCUUUAGAAGAGAAGCAGAACGAUCUGGAAAGGUCGGCCAUAGUGGGUGAUAGUCCCGUAUGCGUAGUGCUUUUAAAGAUCCCUUGAGUAGGGCGGGGCACCGUGAAACCCUGUCUGAACAUGGGGGACCACCCUCCAGCCUAUUUCCC